UGCUACUCUGAGGACUCAUGCUGUGCCACUUUUCUUGGCAUGAACUGUCCCCCUACCCCCCUUUUUUUCCUCCUGUUGAGGGAAACUAUUAGUAUAAACUUUGCACAAAGAAGAUGUUAAAGAAGCCUGCAACACAAUGCCUUCUGUAAAAGUUACCUCCUAUGGAAACACCCAUGUAAGACUUCAUACUUCAUUAGCCACCAUGAAACACUCAGCUAUUAUCCAUGAUGUAACUAAGCAACACCACCUUCAUGUUAUUGAUGGGUCUGAGUGCACACAGAUCUUGCUGACUGGGACGAGCAUUGGUACACUCCCCUGUAACUGGAGGAAGAAGGGAACUUUUCAGGCAUGCGUUUUAUGAAAAAAUCCCAAUGGAAAAAAUAAUUCCCCAUGGGUUAGAUACUGGCUCAGAAGAUUGUGUCUGUACUUUGAAUUCACACAGGCUUCUUGUGUGAUCUUGAGCAAACCUGUGAAGGUGACAGCAUAACCCUGUGCCUGUGCUCCUUCACAGCACCUUUGGUAAGAGUGCAGGAGAUGAAGAUCGGUGGAUCUGCCCCAGUGGACUGCCUGCGGACUGGUGGCUGGGAGUGGUGGAAUGGGGCAGGGUUUGGGAAGAAACCUUUUACUAACCCCUUUGCAAAGUGCACCAGAUACCAUGGAUACAGG
This 666-nucleotide long non-coding RNA is filed under the name Anser brachyrhynchus (Pink-footed goose). RNAcentral describes it as "lncRNA (ENSABRG00000009665.1)". Lineage: Eukaryota; Metazoa; Chordata; Aves; Anseriformes; Anatidae. The record is from RNAcentral.